Molecule: unclassified non-coding RNA, 277 nt
Filed under: Hevea brasiliensis (rubber tree)
Lineage: Eukaryota; Viridiplantae; Streptophyta; Magnoliopsida; Malpighiales; Euphorbiaceae
Source: RNAcentral
CAUUAGCCCUUAUUCUAUUCCUGGUAAUUUGUCCAAUACCUUCUAAUUGACUUUUCUUUAGGUUGCAUUGGCUGCUUACUAUGGCUUAUGGGUUAUAAAAGGGUCCAUAACUAUCAUUUUUACACUGUGUUGGUUUUGUUACUCUUAAGUUCGUUCAGUGGGUUUUACUUAGCUAAUGUUUUAAUUGAUUGGGUCGCAUUGGAUUGAAUUCUUCAAUAUUUGGACUUGCAAUAGGAUUUAGGAUUACCCUUUUGGUGUUUCUUGAGGCUUAUCUUUU